AACGUAGGGAACCUGCCCAUGCGGCCGGGACAACUUCCGGAAACGGAUGCUGAUACCGGAUAAGGAAAGCGAAGGCAUCCUUGCUUUGUUAAAGGAGCUGCAAGGCUCCGCGCAUGGAUGGACCUGCGGUGCAUUAGCUGGUUGGUGAGGUAAAGGCUCACCAAGGCGACGAUGCAUAGCCGGCCUGAGAGGGCGAACGGCCACACUGGGACUGAGACACGGCCCAGACUCCUACGGGAGGCAGCAG
RNAcentral lists this ribosomal RNA (247 nucleotides) under uncultured bacterium. RNAcentral's name for it is "partial 16S ribosomal RNA". It matches the Rfam family "Bacterial small subunit ribosomal RNA", at positions 114 to 354 of the family's 1533-position model. The record is from RNAcentral.